Molecule: long non-coding RNA, 1653 nt
Organism: Rhagoletis pomonella (apple maggot)
Lineage: Eukaryota; Metazoa; Arthropoda; Insecta; Diptera; Tephritidae
Exons: 2
Source: RefSeq, a predicted model, not a curated record
CCGUCCGUCCCUCAGUAUAUCCAGUAAAAAAACUGUGGUGAAGUCCUUUAUGGGGAUAAAGUUUCCAGAGGUGAAUUUUUAAGUACCACAUAAUUUCUUACGCGCAGGGUUGCUUUUCAGCACUAAUGAAAGAAACUUAAGAAAAACUUAAAAGAAAAUGCAUAUAGUGCAUUAAUUUUUGAAAGAAAUGCCAUACUCCAUACCAUGUACUCUGAUUAUUAAUAUUAAAAAAUGUAUUAGAACUACCGUUUAAUGUUAUACUUGAUACAAAUUAAUUUUGCUACUCGGAACGCUCUGCGCAUUGCCACUGAAUACUUGAAAUUACAUACCUGGUCCUUGGUCUUUCUGUAUUGCAUCGUGGUGAAUUCACAUUUCUCAGAAAUUUGACAACAAAACAAAAUGAAGGGAGUAUUUUAUUUUCCAACUUUUGCGAUUUCUAUUGUUUAAUGUAAAUUUUAUGUCUUUUUAGGAUAUGUUGAGGCAACAAAGAGGGCGCAGUUGGAAAAUGAAGUUAUUAGUAUGAAGUAGCAUCUCAGGCACAUUUGGAAAAUUAUGCCUAUAAGCAAGAUGGAAUUUGGGAAAAAAUGCUAUAAAUCGAGUGGCGUUAUUUAAGAUGUGCUCCAAAUAUUUGGCGAACUUUCUUUUCGCCUUUUCAACGUGCUAAGUGACAAGAUAAGUUGACUGUUAUCACAGCCGGUAAGAAGCCCGAAGCAAAGGGAAAACUACCUUCCAGGAAGCUGCCUGCUGUCCCCGAGUCGAAGAUAAAGUUAAGCAGGAAGCAGGUAAGCAAACGUGCUACCCUGAUCAAGCGUAAACUAAAGCGCUCUGCUGUGAUUGCACUCCGCAAGCGUGAAAACUUGGAGCAUGCUGAGAAAUAUCAAGCAAAAUAUCUCCUGAUGGACGCCGUGAGAUAAAGUUGCGCCGUCUGGCAAAGAAACGCGGCCCAUUCUACGUGCCCGCAGAAUGCGGUAUCAACAAAGUUGCACCAAAAGUGCGUAAAGUUUUACUGUGGUUCCAUCUUCGCCACAUUAACAACGGUUUGUUCAUAGAAUUGAACAAUAUAACCAUUAAUAUGCUACGGAUUGCCGAACCCUAUAUUACAUGGGGCUAUCCAAAUCUUAUAUCAGUUCGUGAAUUGAUCUACAAACAUGGAAUGGUCAAGCACAACCAACGUGUCCCAAACUCUGACAACUUUGUGAUCGAACGCAAAUUGGACAAAGCGCACGAUAUUCAGUGCGUUGAUUAUUUGGCGCUACUGGAUUCCAGUUCAAGAAAGCCUCGAACUUACCGUGGCCACUACGUUGGGGUUGGUGAUUUCGGUAACCGUGAAGAUAAUAUCAACAAACUGCUGCGCAAGAUGGUUUAAAGAAAUUGUCUGGUGUACAAAGUGGAAUAUUUUUAUUUCAAAAAUAUAUAAUAAUAAAAAUAGAAAAUAAUGUUGUUUUUUUUUUGGAACUUUCUGAAAGUUUAACCCCCAAAUAUGCCAAAUAGAAGGCAGCUUAUAUUCACGAUUCCUUGAAUAAUGUCGAAAUUCCAUUGCCGUUUGUAAAGGCCAUUUCAGAAGGCUCCAUUCCACAAAUUUAAUUUGUUUUGGUUUUUCAGCUCAUUAACGAUGCACCCAGGAUUGCAUUUACCGUCUAUGAAAAUAUUUCA